AUUGAACGCUGGCGGCAGGCCUAACACAUGCAAGUCGAACGGUAACAGGGAUCAGCUUGCUGAUUCGCUGACGAGUGGCGGACGGGUGAGUAAUGUCUGGGAAACUGCCUGAUGGAGGGGGAUAACUACUGGAAACGGUAGCUAAUACCGCAUAACGUCGCAAGACCAAAGAGGGGGACCUUCGGGCCUCUUUCCAUCGGAUGUGCCCAGAUGGGAUUAGCUAGUAGGUGGGGUAACGGCUCACCUAGGCGACGAUCCCUAGCUGGUCUGAGAGGAUGACCAGCCACACUGGAACUGAGACACGGUCCAGACUCCUACGGGAGGCAGCAGUGGGGAAUAUUGCACAAUGGGCGAAAGCCUGAUGCAGCCAUGCCGCGUGUAUGAAGAAGGCCUUCGGGUUGUAAAGUACUUUCAGCGGGGAGGAAGGGAGUAAAGUUAAUACCUUUGCUCAUUGACGUUACCCGCAGAAGAAGCACCGGCUAACUCCGUG
Molecule: ribosomal RNA, 490 nt
Filed under: uncultured bacterium
Lineage: Bacteria
Description: partial 16S ribosomal RNA
Rfam family: Bacterial small subunit ribosomal RNA
Source: RNAcentral